This 293-nucleotide ribosomal RNA is filed under the name uncultured bacterium. Its description in RNAcentral is "partial 16S ribosomal RNA". It matches the Rfam family "Bacterial small subunit ribosomal RNA", at positions 505 to 796 of the family's 1533-position model. The record is from RNAcentral.
GUGUCAGCAGCCGCGGUAAGACGUAGGGCGCGAGCGUUGUCCGGAUUUAUUGGGCGUAAAGAGCUCGUAGGCGGCUUGUCGCGUCGACUGUGAAAACCCGCGGCUCAACCGUGUGGUCUGCAGUCGAUACGGGCAGGCUAGAGUUCGGUAGGGGAGACUGGAAUUCCUGGUGUAGCGGUGAAAUGCGCAGAUAUCAGGAGGAACACCGGUGGCGAAGGCGGGUCUCUGGGCCGAUACUGACGCUGAGGAGCGAAAGCGUGGGGAGCGAACAGGAUUAGAUACCCCCGUAGUCC